CUCGGGUGGAGGCAGCAGUUGGGUUGGCUGGAGGUUUACGGCUCUGGGUGGUCCUAUGCCGAGGGUUCAUCAAGAGUGACGGAGCCACUUGUAGCGAAAAGCUCUUAAGCAGCAGUGUGCCUCUGCCAUCUACUGACUGGUUUAUUCUCUCUACUGAUUGGUUUUGGGUGGUGACAAGGCUCAGGGAGAUGGCAGCAUUGCAAGAGGGAGGGAGAUCCCAGAUCAACAUAUUUGGGAUGAGCUCUGAGGCUGUCUCAGCAACUCCUGGACGUCUCUGCCUGUGGCACCUCAGCUGUCUCCGAAUGAACAUUCAGGCAGCUCUGCUGGAGAAGCAAAGGCACACAGGUCCAGGACAGUGGAUAACUGACACAGCAGCCACCAAUUGGGAGUGAAUCUACAACUUGUGCCAUUAGAUGUGUGGUGCUUCUGCUGUGAUUAAACAGUUGCACACUUUGGAUUUGACUUGCAACAGCAGUCUCACUUAAGCCUGUCCCUACCCCUUUCCUCUUGCAUGUGAGUUGCACUGGAUUUCUCUGCUGUCCUUGAAUGUGCUGGGAAGCCCGCAGAGUUAUGAUCCUACACAUUUCCCUCCAUCUAGAACACAUCUGCCCACAUAGAACAGCUGCCUCUCUACUGAGAUGUCCUCCCCUCCAGCAAGCCUGCCCCAAUUCUCAGAGGAGGGUAAUCCCCUCAACAUGGCCCCCAGUCCCUCUGUACCUCCACAUGACAUUCAGUGCUUUAGGGGGUCCCCACCCAGGGAGUCUCCUCCAAUGUGUGGGAGAAGCUCAGCCUGCUGUGCUCACCAUGGCUCUGCUGUUAAGCACUGCUUGGCACAUAGAAUGGGCUCAAUGAGUGUUUCUUAAAUAAAGGGGCUGGUGCCAGUGAUGGCAUCUGGGGUCGGGGUGCUCAGCCCUUUUGACAGAUCAUGUCUGAGUGUGUGAGGACCCAUCAGGCACCUCAUGUCCACCCCCUCCCUGUCCCCGAGCCAGGCUUCACUCACACACAGCGAGGUGGCCCUAGUGCUAUGGCCAAUCAGCCUGGAGCCAAAUCCUGGUUCUACUCCUUGCUGUGGUAUCUUGGACAAGGUUCUGAAUGCUCUUUGCUUCAGUUUCCUUAAUGAAAUGAAGUUUACGAGGGUCUCUGUCUCCUGGGCUUGCUCUGAGGAAUAAAUGAGUUAAUA
Long non-coding RNA from Heterocephalus glaber (naked mole-rat), 1180 nucleotides. The record is from Ensembl. Lineage: Eukaryota; Metazoa; Chordata; Mammalia; Rodentia; Bathyergidae.